UGUCUCCUGAGGCUGAGUCUGGAUUUUGUACUUAUGAAGAGGUUUAUUUUCCAGUUUUGUUCAAAUACAGCAGUCUCCCAAGAGCAACAUUGUAGAGAUUUUGACUGUGGAAGAUGGCAGAAUUCUUGCAAGAUUAACAACAUUUGCGCUAUGGCCAUCUAUCAAUUAAAAACCUUACGUGGUCCAAAACAUUCCCCUCAGCCCAGCUCUGAUGGAUCUUUUAAACGAACACUUACAUUCACAAACUGCUGCUUUCCUGCCAUGUACCACUGUGAAGGAUCUGGCUCUGUCUCCUUGCUGGACUCCCUGUAGGUACAAGGAGCUGGUUCAGGUGGUUCAUGGCCAUCUCUUCUCUAGGCUGAACAAGCCUCACUCCCCCAGCCUCUCCUGACAGGACAAGUGCUUCCAAAUUGCUGUUGGAAAUCCCUGUGUUGGCAAGAAACCACAUCGUAUUUACUCUGUCAG
Long non-coding RNA from Gallus gallus (chicken), 465 nucleotides. Lineage: Eukaryota; Metazoa; Chordata; Aves; Galliformes; Phasianidae. The record is from Ensembl.